CUACUCUACCCAGCCGGCACCGCUCGGUUAGCUGACGCUGAGGUAGCCGGGGAGGUGCGUCCCGUCGGUCCCCCGCCCCAGAGCGGCCGCAGUCCCGGCUCCCGGAGUGGUGGUCCCUGCCCCGUCCAGAGAAUAACAUGGGGAGGCCGAGGAGCCUGCGCUGCGGCGGACGACCAGCCCCGCCGGCGGUCGCUGAGGCUGGGGUUCCAAUGCCAGUCUUCCAGUGCCAGUGCUGCUUCCCAGCCCACACAUCCCUCUCACCACUGCUGCAUCCUAAGGAAGUCAGCAACCUUCAGGGGGUACUUGUUCCUGGAGCCAGAGUAGAGGAGGGUGGCGCUUCCAAGGCUGUGGGCAUCCAAAGAAAGAGUGCUGUCCAUCCUCCUCCUGCCUACUGAUCUCCCAUCAGCAGAACCCCACUGGAGACCUACUGGCAGCUUUUUUUAGGGCCGCUCUCGAAUCAGAGCUACAGCUGCCAGCUUAUAUCACAGCUACAGCAACAUAGGAUCCAAGCUAUGUCUGCGACCUACAAUGCGGCUCACGGCAACGCGGGAUCUCUAACCCACUGAGCAAAGCCAGGGAUCAAAACUACAUCCUCAUGGGUACUAGUCAGAUUCAUUUCCACUACACCACAACAGGAACUCCCUACAUUUGUUUUGUGGUAACAAUUACCUGGUAAAUUUCCAUCUUCCAAUAGAGUUGUGCUACUCUCUUUCACAGUUUUCUUACUGUAUUUUUGAGUAGGUAUUGUGCAUAUAACUUUCAUGGUCCUCAAAAUUAAAUCCUCUGUUAUUAUUAGGAGGUGAAGAGAAGGACCCGGAGAGCUUUAUAGAAUUAGUUCUCAUGGGCUCUUUCCUCCGUUGCUAUAGCAAAAAAAAAAAAAAAAAAAAAAAAAAAGUAUUUCCUUAAAAUACAGCAACUCUGUGAAGUCAUGCUUCCUGUGCCUCCAGGUACCUAACCAGGCUCUGAAAAGCUUCUACGUAUAGUUCUCAACUUCCUGAUUUAUUCACACACUGCAGAGACCCAGGCUUUGCCUUACAAAAUAAUAUGAUCACUUUUAGAAAGUUAUUACUGGUGGUUUCUAAGAUCUACUAUCUCUGAUUAGGCACUUCGUAUCUUUCUCUCUCUUUAGUGUUUAGACCCUAAUCAAUCUCAGUUCUUUCCCAGAAUGUCCUCUUGAAUUCCUACAUAGAUUUGCUGCACAGUGCUUAUGGUCUCAGUUGCUGACUACAGCAUUGACUGUAAUUUUGGAGUGUUGGGGUUUUGUUAGUCAGCUGUUUGCUGAAAAUUCAUUUUCUGUGACCUUAUUUUUUUUCUUCUUGUUGUUCUGGAUAGAUUUCAGGAGAAGGAAUGAAAAGUUUCAGAACUUAACAGACUCCCAUGUUCUCAUAGAAUGAUGAUAUAAUUUAUUUUUCUCCCAUGUUCUCAAAAGAAAUGAAAAAAUUCUCUGGAAGUACUAUGAUUAUUGGCUUUAGAUAAUGAACGAGAAUGUUCUAGUUAUCACCAGCCUAAUUCAAGCCAAUUAUAUAGAUUUUUCAUACCUACUAUAACAUUAAGGCUAUGUCUAGAAGAUAAUGUCACAAAGUAAUUUAAUGGAAAAUCAUUUAAGGCCUACAGUUCAGAUAAAUUAAGUUUUAAGCAAAAGAGGUUCUGAAAGAAGUAGA
This 1661-nucleotide long non-coding RNA is filed under the name Sus scrofa (pig). RNAcentral's name for it is "lncRNA (ENSSSCG00025010090.1)". Lineage: Eukaryota; Metazoa; Chordata; Mammalia; Artiodactyla; Suidae. The record is from RNAcentral.